UAUAUAGAAUCCCUACAUCUAUAGAGUCUAGUUCUAUUACAUAGAUCAGUGACAUAGACUUUUCAAAACUUCUUUUUCAGUUACACUCUCAGUAACUCUCAUCAUUACAAUCAUUAUAACUUAGUUUUAGUACAAGAGAAAAUAAUUAUUAUAUCUAGAAUUUCUAGAUCUAGACUUGUAUCAUGACAUUCGUUUAGAUUUAAGACUAUAGAGACAGUGACUUUGAUGAUACUAAAGCGACUAGACAUUUUCAAGCUUAUCUUACCAAGUUUGAAAAUAUUUUACACAAGGCUUAAGUGGAAAUUUCUCAAAAGGUAGUGAUAAGGACAGAGGGAAAGCUUUAUUAAACCUCUUUUACCUAGAUAUUAAAGCAAUCUGAAUCCAAACAGGAAUCUGAAUCUAUAAAUGAAUCUUAACCUAAAUAAAGAUCAGAUUCAAGGAAAGAAUGCCUACAGAAUCCUAUAUGCUCUCAAAUAUAAUACUUGCCAAUAGGAUUUAGAAAGGUAUUUGGAUUUGAAGAAGAUUUUGAAUCAAGAAAAUAGUUUAAAACUGAAAGAAAGGAAUCUGAAUCCAUAGAAGCAUCAGAACUGUUGAAAGAUCCUCUUUCUAGAAAGGUAUCUCUGGCAAAUCAAGUAUUGAAACUUGAAAGCAAUCUGAAGCCAGAAAGCAAUCAGUACAAGUAGAAAUAUUUGAAACUAGAAAACAGUUUGAUUAAAAAAAGGACAAGAAUCAAGCAAGCUAAUCCUUUAGCAUAAAGAGACAUGAAUCUAGAAAGCAGUCUGAACCCCAAAUAGCUGGAAUCUGGAAAAGAAUCUGAAGGAAUUUAACAACCUGAAUCUAGAAAGGAAUCUGAUUUUUUUUUUUAAAGUAGAAAGCAACACACAAAAGCAUGUGAAUCUAGUGAUGAAUGUGAAUCAGACCAGUGAACCUGUGUCAGGGAUCCAGAAAAAAACAAAAACUGAAGCUAAAGAAAUACCUGAACAAAGAAAGCAAUCCAUCCUGAGCAAGGGUACAGAAUUAAAAAAAAAAAAAGAAUCCAAAUUCUAAAAAAAAAAAAAAUCCAAAUCUAAAAAAGAAAAAUAAAAAAAAA
This is a long non-coding RNA of Biomphalaria glabrata, 1090 nucleotides long. RefSeq lists it as uncharacterized. The transcript is spliced from 3 exons. NCBI's taxonomy places the organism in Eukaryota, Metazoa, Mollusca, Gastropoda, Planorbidae. The record is from RefSeq and is a predicted model, not a curated record.